Molecule: ribosomal RNA, 460 nt
Filed under: uncultured bacterium
Lineage: Bacteria
Description: partial 16S ribosomal RNA
Rfam family: Bacterial small subunit ribosomal RNA
Source: RNAcentral
CCUACGGGUGGCAGCAGUGAGGAAUAUUGGUCAAUGGACGAGAGUCUGAACCAGCCAAGUAGCGUGAAGGAUGACUGCCCUAUGGGUUGUAAACUUCUUUUAUAUGGGAAUAAAACGUUCCACGUGUGGGAUUUUGUAUGUACCAUAUGAAUAAGGAUCGGCUAACUCCUUGCCAGCAGCCGCGGUAAUACGGAGGAUCCGAGCGUUAUCCGGAUUUAUUGGGUUUAAAGGGAGCGUAGGUGGAUUGUUAAGUCAGUUGUGAAAGUUUGCGGAUCAACCGUAAAAUUGCAGUUGAAACUGGCAGUCUUGAGUACAGUAGAGGUGGGCGGAAUUCGUGGUGUAGCGGUGAAAUGCUUAGAUAUCACGAAGAACUCCGAUUGCGAAGGCAGUUCACUGGACUGCAACUGACACUGAGGCUCGAAAGUGUGGGUAUCAAACAGGAUUAGAUACCCUUGUAGUC